Cavia porcellus (domestic guinea pig) is the source of this 276-nucleotide unclassified non-coding RNA. Its record names the gene 7SK. It matches the Rfam family "7SK RNA". Rfam says of the family: 7SK was discovered as an abundant small nuclear RNA in the mid-70s but a possible function has only recently been suggested. The record is from Ensembl. NCBI's taxonomy places the organism in Eukaryota, Metazoa, Chordata, Mammalia, Rodentia, Caviidae.
AUAGCUGCAGGGUGAUCUGAGUGUGACGUCUGUCACUUCGUUGACCACUGGCUUGAUUUGGCUGACCUGAUUGGCUAGGUGGGUGUCCCUUUCAUCCCUCAGCACUCCAUGUGUAUCCCUCCUGAUGCUCAGUUGACAACUUUCUUCUAUAGAGAGGCACCAUUUUUUUUUUGGUCAAAGAUAUAUGAGUAGUUGUGCUGUCCUGCUAGAACUUCCAAACAAGGUUCUCAAAAUAGAAAUUUAUGUCCACUUCAACCUUCCAGCUUGACAGUCCUG